AGCAAUUUAAUGGAGUAUAUUUCUCAAGAAAAUGUUGCGUUCUUUAAAUUCUAUUUCCUAACUUUUUACGCGUCCUCGACACAAACUUCCCUAUGGCGCACUGGAAAUCUUACUUACGUGACAAACUUAGCAAAAGAAAGUAUGAAUACUCGGACAUAGCAUUAAAAGACGCCACGAACGCGUUAGAAAAGUAUCCAACGCUGAAGCCAAACGUGAAACAUUUUGCCGGUACUCAUGGUCAGAACAGGGAGCUAGUUUGUCUUGAAGGAACAAUACCUGUUUACUAUCGAGGUUUCACCUAUAAUUUUCCAAUAUGUUUAUGGCUUCAAGAGAAACAUCCAAAUGCGCCUCCUUUUGCAUAUGUUGUGCCCACAGCGGAGAUGGAAAUAAAACCAGGACUCCAUGUUGACGCUCAAGGCAGAGUUUACCUACCAUUUUUAACAGAAUGGAAGCAUCCUCAAUCAGAUAUUUAUGGCUUGAUAGAAGUCUUGCGUCAGGUCUUUUCUGAAGAACCUCCCGUCUAUGGUCGCAAACCCACUCCUGCACUAACAAGUUCUCCAUCAAGUCAUCCUUUGACAAAGAAUUCCUCUCCUGAAUAUAUCCAAGCAAGAAAACUAAUUCGGAAAUUUGUCCUACUGGUCCUGUUCAGACGCCCAGCACUGCGAUACCCCAAGUAUCUAGAGGCGGACCUAGCAUUAAGGGAUGCAAAGAGUGCCUUAGAACAACAUAGAAACUUGAAGCCAUACAUAAAACAGUUUGCUUAUCCUGGUGGUCUGAUAAAGGAGCUAGUUUGCCUUGAAGGGACAAUAUCUAUAAACUAUAAAGGUUGCGACUAUAAUAUUCCAAUAUGUUUAUGGCUUCAAGAGAAACAUCCAAAUGCGCCUCCUUUUGCAUAUGUUGUGCCCACAGCGGAGAUGGAAAUAAAAUCAGGACGCCAUGUUGACGCUCAAGGCAGAGUUUACCUACUAUUUUUAACAGAAUGGCGGAAGCAUAGAGUUCGGGGAUUGCAGCACUCCAGGUGAAAUGUGGUUAUCGAGACAUGUGUGAACGUUUUCUUGAGUCGCAGAAUAUUCCAGAUGAAUACUUUGACAAAACUCCAGAUUUUAAUAAAUGUUUCUGUGAGAAUUGUCACAGAGAUCGUGGUGAUGAAGAAUGCUGUUUUCGUGGGAAGCCCGCCAAGAGAUACGCUUUACCUAUUGGCUGGAGUAGAUUUUCCAUUAAAGUUGCCCAAAACGCGAAAGUACUUAAUAUCUUUGGGAAUUGGUUUUAUGGAACACAAGCAGCAACCCUCAAGCCAAUAUUGGACAGCGGUCAAUUGCUAAUGCCAGGGGAUGUGGCCUUGGGAGGAAAUGAAUUGCGCGAGGGAGAAGGACAAUAUAACGACCAUUGGAAACCAAAGACGUUUGACACGAAGCAAAUUUUUGUUUCUCCAAGUAUCAAAUAUUCCGGGUGCCCUGUUUAUGCCAAGAUUCAAAGUUAAAACCAUAUCUUCCUUACGAAUAUACUCACGAAGGAAUGUUGGAAAGAAUAAGUGCACAAGUAGAACAUCUCGAAUUCUGUAGAGACAGCCAAUGGCCACCAUUACACAAUAUGAAAAAAAUCGAAGGAAAACUUGGCCAGUCCUGCAAAAAUGCAUGCUGGGAGAAAGGAAUGCUAUGUGAACCAUCAUACUGGGACAUUUUAAAUCAACUCAUUUCGUUUAGAAGAGCAAACAUAACGUGUGAACUUGUGGAACAUGGUAAUUUACUUGUUGCACCGUCGUACGAUAAGACAAAGACCUGUCACCUCCAACAACAGCCAUUGUUACACAGUUGUGUAUCCUCCUCUGCCUCACACGUGAGACUUUGUCCAUGUCGUGACUACAUCAAAGAUCAAGUUGCGUUAUGCAACAAAUGUUGGUGAAUGAAGAUUCUGUCAAUCUUAAAUUAGAACAACUAGUACAUUUGAAUGAUGAAUGAUCUGAGAACAUCAUUAUUUAUUAUCAACAAAUAGCAUGUUUACAUGUAAAGACACCGCCAAGCCAUACGUAAAUCCCUACAUAUGCAUAUACAGAUCUUCAGAUCUGUCAAUCCUUCAGAUCUCUACCGGAAAAAAGUUUGGAGCCGGUCAGGAAGAUAAUUUCUUCAAAAUAGCAAAUCAUUUUAUUCCCCAGUAAAAGUGAUCAUCAACAACAAUGUAUCGGCGACUGUCGUUGAUUAAUGGGAAACAGGCUUUAGAGACAAGGUCCUACGGGCAUCGCGACCACUAGCAAAGAAGACGUUCUCAGCAGCGGCGUGGCGGAAGGGGGUUGCAGCACCUCCAAUUUUUGCAAGGUGGAAGUUGGUCGGUAAUGGCACCAUGAAGGCCUCGGUAUCUCGUCUGUUUCUGAUUUACAUUUACAGUAAUGAAAAAGAUUCUAUGCACAAUUAAAAAACUGACCAAAUGGUUAUCUGCUUUCUCUGGAUGUGCUUCAAGUGCUACGAGUCGGCAAAACCUCUGUGUUACACCCCCAGAGUUACGAUAGUCACGCUCUGCCUCCAGGUUCUCAGCCUUGCCUUGUAUGAAAUUUGGAUGGAUGCUGAUUGCUUUUGCCACUCCAAGGUCAACUUCACUAUGCACACGCUUCGAUUCAGUUGAACCGAAGUCAUGGUAUACUUUGCCUUACUCAUACUUUUUAACAGGAUUUUUUCCAAAGUUUUAGAGGUGGAAGUAUUGUAUCAAUGGUAUAAACACAUAUAGUAUUAGUAUAAUGCAGUUUUCACGCCAAGCGCCAAAAUGAAUAUAACUUAUAUUACACAGAU
Molecule: unclassified non-coding RNA, 2780 nt
Filed under: Dendronephthya gigantea
Lineage: Eukaryota; Metazoa; Cnidaria; Anthozoa; Malacalcyonacea; Nephtheidae
Description: uncharacterized LOC114523108, transcript variant X4
Source: RNAcentral